CUAUGUUACAUGGUAUGGGGAUACGGAUACGACGAUACGGGAAAACGACACUUUCUGAAAAUAGACUUACGGGGAUACGGCGGGUAUAUAUAUAAACCUGAAUUCUUAAAAGCAAAGCUUUGCUUUUUAGAGCUUCAGAGCACACACCCCUCUGCGCUGUUCGAUAGAGAUCGCGGUCUCCAGGUGUUGGGCGGUCGGGCCGAAACAAACGAAUCCACCGACCUCGUUAUCCACUCCUCUCUCUCACCCCACACAAAUCACCUUCUCCCUCCACCGGUGCACACCUUCCUCCACACCCCGGCGAGAUCCGACGCACCCCGCCUCCAUCGACCUAGCCCUCGCGCUGGCCCGCUUCUAACCAAAUCCUGAGUCGGAGCUCCUCCUUCCUCAGCCUUCUUCUCCGCCGGCGAACCACCCACCCCGACCGGCAGCGGAGCAUCCCGCGCGAGCGGACAUGCUCCCUUGUUCCUGACUGGCGGCGACGCGGCCCUGUGCCCUGCUUCUCCAUCCCGGCAUCGUCCCCCGCCGCGUCAAUCCCUCGCCGGGUUAAUGCAUCUUGUAGCUCGGGCCUUCGAUUCUAGUCCAACGACGACAACAAAAGAAGGCAGGGGCUGCUCUGGCCGCCCCCUUGCAGAUUCCAACCAACAGUACAGGGAGGAUCCUCUCACAACCUUGCCUCAAACACUCCCGUCCAGAGCUUGCCUGCAGGGGCCGGGUGGAUGAGGCGCAGUACGUCACUGUAGAUUCCCCUCCUGCUAUUCGUCCACAAGGACGCCCUGGAGCCUUACAUGAGCAGGAAGGCGGUGGAGCUGCACUGGGGCAAGCACCAGUAGGACUACAUGGACGGGCUCAUCAAGCAGCUCGCCAUCAGCCCGCUGUAUGGCCACACCCUCGAGGACCUCAUCAAGGAGGCUUACAACAACAGCAACCCGCUAUCCGAGAGCAACGAUGCGACCGAGGGAGAUAAAACAGGGGGGUCCUGCUGUAUUUUGGUUGCUGCAAUUAUCUGUAUCAUGUGGUGUGUUGGUCUGGAACCAUCACGUCUUCUAGGAAUCGAUGCAGCCGGAAGGCGGUGGCUCUCCCGAGGCAGGUGCGCUGCAGCAGAUCGAGAAGGAUUUCGGCUCCUUUAAUUUUAGGGAGGAGUUCAUGCGCUCGGCAUUGUCAUUGUUGGGGUCCGGUUGGAUUUGGCUUGUCUUGAAGAGAAGCGAGAGGAAACUCAUAGUGGUUCAGGCACAAAAUGCUAUCAACCCACUUGCUUGAAAAUUAUUUGCAUUUUGCCUACAUCCCAGCAGGACUUGCUAUUUAUUUUCCCUCUUUGCAAGCAAGAAGCUUUGCCAACCACUUUCAGGACUUGCUCUCUAGCUCCCACUUAUUCGCAAGCAAAAAAUGUUUCACUGACAACUUCCAGAGAAGCAAGCAUGAUCACUUCUUUCUCUUCAAGAAUUAUCUUUUUUUACAGAGAUUGCAUGUUACAAAGCAUAGGAGACUCGGGUGUUCUUCAUGGUGCAGGAUCACCUGCACAGGCCAGAGGAGGAGGAAGAACUAACCCGUCGGCUGGAGAAGAUGGGGCAGAGGUGGUUGCUGCAGGAGUGGCGACGCUGCUGCUGCUGGAUUUAGUCCUUGUAGGAAC
Long non-coding RNA from Triticum dicoccoides, 1630 nucleotides. RefSeq lists it as uncharacterized. The record is from RefSeq and is a predicted model, not a curated record. The transcript is spliced from 8 exons. NCBI's taxonomy places the organism in Eukaryota, Viridiplantae, Streptophyta, Magnoliopsida, Poales, Poaceae.